CAGCAGCCGCGGUAAUACGAAGGGUGCAAGCGUUAAUCGGAAUUACUGGGCGUAAAGCGUGCGUAGGCGGUGAGUUAAGUCUGCUGUGAAAUCCCCGGGCUCAACCUGGGAAUGGCAGUGGAUACUGGCUCGCUAGAGUGUGUCAGAGGAUGGUGGAAUUCCCGGUGUAGCGGUGAAAUGCGUAGAGAUCGGGAGGAACAUCAGUGGCGAAGGCGGCCAUCUGGGACAACACUGACGCUGAGGUGCGAAAGCGUGGGGAGCAAACAGGAUUAGAGACCCGUGUAGUCCCUGUCUCUUAUAC
Molecule: ribosomal RNA, 301 nt
Filed under: uncultured bacterium
Lineage: Bacteria
Description: partial 16S ribosomal RNA
Rfam family: Bacterial small subunit ribosomal RNA
Source: RNAcentral